This 496-nucleotide ribosomal RNA is filed under the name uncultured bacterium. Its description in RNAcentral is "partial 16S ribosomal RNA". It matches the Rfam family "Bacterial small subunit ribosomal RNA", at positions 29 to 507 of the family's 1533-position model. The record is from RNAcentral.
AUGAACGCUGGCGGCGUGCCUAAUACCUGCAAGUCGAGCGAACAGACGAGGAGCUUGCUCCUCUGACGUUAGCGGCGGACGGGUGAGUAACACGUGGAUAACCUACCUAUAAGACUGGGAUAACUUCGGGAAACCGGAGCUAAUACCGGAUAAUAUAUUGAACCGCAUGGUUCAAUAGUGAAAGACGGUUUUGCUGUCACUUAUAGAUGGAUCCGCGCCGCAUUAGCUAGUUGGUAAGGUAACGGCUUACCAAGGCAACGAUGCGUAGCCGACCUGAGAGGGUGAUCGGCCACACUGGAACUGAGACACGGUCCAGACUCCUACGGGAGGCAGCAGUAGGGAAUCUUCCGCAAUGGGCGAACGCCUGACGGAGCAACGCCGCGUGAGUGAUGAAGGUCUUCGGAUCGUAAAACUCUGUUAUUAGGGAAGAACAAAUGUGUAAGUAACUAUGCACGUCUUGACGGUACCUAAUCAGAAAGCCACGGCUAACUACGUG